AUUGAACGCUGGCGGAAUGCUUUACACAUGCAAGUCGAACGGCAGCACGGACUUCGGUCUGGUGGCGAGUGGCGAACGGGUGAGUAAUGUAUCGGAACGUGCCCAGUCGUGGGGGAUAACGUAGGGAAAAUUACGCUAAUACCGCAUACGAUCUAUGGAUGAAAGCGGGGGAUCGCAAGACCUCGCGCGCUUGGAGCGGCCGAUAUCAGAUUAGGUAGUUGGUGGGGUAAAGGCCCACCAAGCCAACGAUCUGUAGCUGGUCUGAGAGGACGACCAGCCACACUGGAACUGAGACACGGUCCAGACUCCUACGGGAGGCAGCAGUGGGGAAUUUUGGACAAUGGGCGAAAGCCUGAUCCAGCCAUUCCGCGUGCAGGAUGAAGGCCCUCGGGUUGUAAACUGCUUUUGUACAGAACGAAAAGGCUUCUACUAAUACUAGGAGCUCAUGACGGUACUGUAAGAAUAAGCACCGGCUAACUACGUGCCAGCAGCCGCAGUAA
Molecule: ribosomal RNA, 500 nt
Filed under: uncultured bacterium
Lineage: Bacteria
Description: partial 16S ribosomal RNA
Rfam family: Bacterial small subunit ribosomal RNA
Source: RNAcentral